ACGUGGGGUGCAAGCGUUAUCCGGAUUUACUGGGCGUAAAGCGUACCGUCGGCGUCUCAACAAGUUGUCUGUUUAAGCCUGAGGCCCAACUUCAGACCAGCAGACAAAACUGUGGAGAUUGAGUUGGUUCGGGGAAGCUGGAAUUCUCGGUGGAGGGGUGAAAUCCGUAGAUAUCGAGAGGAACGCCAUACGCGAAGGCAGGCUUCUAGGACCAUACUGACGCUCAGGGACGACAGCUCGGGGAGCAAAAGG
Molecule: ribosomal RNA, 252 nt
Filed under: uncultured prokaryote
Description: partial 16S ribosomal RNA
Rfam family: Bacterial small subunit ribosomal RNA
Source: RNAcentral